AUUGAACGCUGGCGGCAUGCCUUACACAUGCAAGUCGAACGGCAGCACGGGAGCAAUCCUGGUGGCGAGUGGCGAACGGGUGAGUAAUAUAUCGGAACGUGCCCAGUCGUGGGGGAUAACGUAGCGAAAGCUACGCUAAUACCGCAUACGAUCUAUGGAUGAAAGCGGGGGAUCGCAAGACCUCGCGCGAUUGGAGCGGCCGAUAUCAGAUUAGGUAGUUGGUGAGGUAAAGGCUCACCAAGCCGACGAUCUGUAGCUGGUCUGAGAGGACGACCAGCCACACUGGGACUGAGACACGGCCCAGACUCCUACGGGAGGCAGCAGUGGGGGAAUUUUUGGGACAAUGGGCGCAAGCCUGAUCCAGCAAUGCCGCGUGCAGGAUGAAGGCCUCGGUUGGUAACGUUAG
RNAcentral lists this ribosomal RNA (406 nucleotides) under uncultured bacterium. RNAcentral describes it as "bacterial SSU rRNA". It matches the Rfam family "Bacterial small subunit ribosomal RNA", at positions 30 to 435 of the family's 1533-position model. The record is from RNAcentral.